This 497-nucleotide ribosomal RNA is filed under the name uncultured bacterium. RNAcentral's name for it is "partial 16S ribosomal RNA". It matches the Rfam family "Bacterial small subunit ribosomal RNA", at positions 28 to 507 of the family's 1533-position model. The record is from RNAcentral.
GAUGAACGCUGGCGGCGUGCCUAAUACAUGCAAGUCGAGCGAACGGACGAGAAGCUUGCUUCUCUGAUGUUAGCGGCGGACGGGUGAGUAACACGUGGAUAACCUACCUAUAAGACUGGGAUAAAUUCGGGAAACCGGAGCUAAUACCGGAUAAUAUUUUGAAUCGCAUGGUUCAAAAGUGAAAGACGGUCUUGCUGUCACUUAUAGAUGGAUCCGCGCUGCAUUAGCUAGUUGGUAAGGUAACGGCUUACCAAGGCAACGAUGCAUAGCCGACCUGAGAGGGUGAUCGGCCACACUGGAACUGAGACACGGUCCAGACUCCUACGGGAGGCAGCAGUAGGGAAUCUUCCGCAAUGGGCGAAAGCCUGACGGAGCAACGCCGCGUGAGUGAUGAAGGUCUUCGGAUCGUAAAACUCUGUUAUUAGGGAAGAACAUAUGUGUAAGUAACUGUGCACAUCUUGACGGUACCUAAUCAGAAAGCCACGGCUAACUACGUG